CGGCUCAGCUGCUAGUAGCUCCCUGGCUCAGGAAAAAGGCCGACGGGGCAGUCCCAGUUCUCCAGAGCAGUGCGGGAGGCAGGAAGGGGAAGGAGCGUGGAGGGAUCUGCAGGAAAACAAAGGGAGCAGCAAAAGGCAAAUGUAGCGGCUCUCACCUCUCCCUUCCCCCCUGCUAUCCCGGGAAAGGGAAGGGAGCAUGGAUUCCUACCCACAAGGUCAUGACAUGGGAAAACAAACAGAGCAGCCGCAGAACCAGCAUGCCCAUGCUGCGCGGCCACCAUCUCCGUGCCACGAGACUGCAGCGUGGGGAAAAAUAGACCUGCAACUGAGCAAGAAGGAACGAAGGAGCCAGCCCAAUGCCUGGGGUGCCCAAAAGUGCAUCCAUGAAGGAGCCAGCCCAACACACGAAAAAGCAUCCCCAGCCCUGCCCGUCUCCCCGCCACCAUCCCACGGGGGUGGGGGGGGGGAGGAGCCUGAGGCCAUGGCUUGGGGUCCACAAAGGAGCAUCCCUGGGUUGCCUCCCCUUCCCCCCGACGUCCAGCAACAGGAAGGAGUGAGGGAGCCACUACCCCUCACCUCCGAGACCGGCGAGGGAAAAAGGAAAAAAAGAGCACCCCCACCCAUUCACCUGGCCAUUCCCCCCCCCCAUCCUCGCACCGACCAUCGGCUGCAACCUGGGGGAAGAAAUGGGCCAUGAGGCUGCAGCAUGGGUAAAGAAAAGUGCCAGCAAAAGAAACCCGGGAGGGGGGGAAGGAGCCAGCAUCCCCACACCAUGAGGCCACAGCUUGGGGCCCACAAAGAACCUCCCUGGGUUCCCUCCUCUUCCCCCAACAUCCAGCUGUAGGAAGGAGCAAGGGAGCCAUAACCCCUCACCUCCGAGGCCACGGCAAGGCAAAAAAAGAAAAGAGCAUCCCUGCUCGCCCGCCUGGCCAUUCCCCCCCCCCAUCCUCACACUGGCCAUCGGCUGUAACCUGGGGGAAGAAAUGGGCCAUGAGGCCGCAGCAUGGGUAAAGAAAAGUGCCAGCAAAGGAAACCAGCAAUGAAUGAAGCAAUGAAGAUGAAACAGUCCAGAUGGCUGAAAAAUAACCCAGGCCUCUACUAUGUGAAAGAUAAGAGUAGAUCAUGCUGGCUGGGGGAAUUCUGGGAACAUUGGUUCAAAAUAGGAGAUUUUUCAAGCUCUGGUAAUGGGUAAUGGUCAUUCAUAAUAUGUAUGUUUUUAAUAGUGCUUUUUAAAAACUUUAUUACAUGAAAUAAAGAGCUGAAAAUAUUUUUAUAAAUAUGCAUACAUCAAUGAAAUGUAUACAUAUAAAUAUAAAUGCAUCAUUCUGAAAUUUGUUGCAUGUUUUCAUUCUGUUACAUUGCUCCAAGAGACUUAUUGUUUCCAGACCUGCUGCAGGGAGUUCAUUAAAAUGUUUUCAAAAUGC
Long non-coding RNA from Anolis carolinensis (green anole), 1424 nucleotides. RefSeq lists it as uncharacterized. Lineage: Eukaryota; Metazoa; Chordata; Lepidosauria; Squamata; Anolidae. The transcript has 2 exons. The record is from RefSeq and is a predicted model, not a curated record.